Molecule: ribosomal RNA, 499 nt
Filed under: uncultured bacterium
Lineage: Bacteria
Description: partial 16S ribosomal RNA
Rfam family: Bacterial small subunit ribosomal RNA
Source: RNAcentral
GACGAACGCUGGCGGCGUGCCUAAUACAUGCAAGUCGAGCGAAGUUUUUCUGGUGCUUGCACUAGAAAAACUUAGCGGCGAACGGGUGAGUAACACGUAAAGAACCUGCCUCAUAGACUGGGACAACUAUUGGAAACGAUAGCUAAUACCGGAUAACAGUAUUUCUCGCAUGAGAGAUAUUUAAAAGUUGGUUAUGCUAACACUAUGAGAUGGCUUUGCGGUGCAUUAGCUAGUUGGUGGGGUAAAGGCCCACCAAGGCGUCGAUGCAUAGCCGACCUGAGAGGGUGAUCGGCCACACUGGGACUGAGACACGGCCCAGACUCCUACGGGAGGCAGCAGUAGGGAAUCUUCCGCAAUGGGCGAAAGCCUGACGGAGCAACGCCGCGUGAGUGAAGAAGGAUUUCGGUUCGUAAAGCUCUGUUGUUAGGGAAGAAUGGAUAUGUAGUAACUAUACAUGUAAGAGACGGUACCUAACCAGAAAGCCACGGCUAACUACGUG